AUUGAACGCUGGCGGCAGGCCUAACACAUGCAAGUCGAACGAGUGGCGGACGGGUGAGUAAUGUAUGGGAAACUGCCUGAUGGAGGGGGAUAACUACUGGAAACGGUAGCUAAUACCGCAUACAAUCAGAUGUGCCCAGAUGGGAUUAGCUUGUUGGUGGGGUAACGGCUCACCAAGGCGACGAUCCCUAGCUGGUCUGAGAGGAUGACCAGCCACACUGGAACUGAGACACGGCCCAGACUCCUACGGGAGGCAGCAGUGGGGAAUAUUGGACAAUGGGGGAAACCCUGAUGCAGCCAUGCCGCGUGUAUGAUGAAGGCCUUCGGGUGGUAAAGUACUUUCAGCAGGGAGGCGGUACCCGCAGAAGAAGCACCGGCUAACUCCGUGCCAGCCGCCGCGGUAAUUC
RNAcentral lists this ribosomal RNA (406 nucleotides) under uncultured bacterium. RNAcentral describes it as "partial 16S ribosomal RNA". It matches the Rfam family "Bacterial small subunit ribosomal RNA", at positions 30 to 526 of the family's 1533-position model. The record is from RNAcentral.